UGCCCCGUAGUGUAAUUGGUAACACGACUGACUCUGGAUCAGUUAUUUGUGGUUCGAGUCCACACGGGGCAGCCA
RNAcentral lists this transfer RNA (75 nucleotides) under Omnitrophica WOR_2 bacterium RBG_13_44_8b. Its description in RNAcentral is "tRNA-Gln". It matches the Rfam family "tRNA". From Rfam's summary of the family: Transfer RNA (tRNA) molecules are approximately 80 nucleotides in length. Their secondary structure includes four short double-helical elements and three loops (D, anti-codon, and T loops). Lineage: Bacteria; Pseudomonadati; Candidatus Omnitrophota. The record is from RNAcentral.